GAUGAACGCUGGCGGCGUGCCUAAUACAUGCAAGUCGAGCGAACAGAUGAGGAGCUUGCUCCUCUGACGUUAGCGGCGGACGGGUGAGUAACACGUGGAUAACCUACCUAUAAGACUGGGAUAACUUCGGGAAACCGGAGCUAAUACCGGAUAAUAUAUUGAACCGCAUGGUUCAAUAGUGAAAGACGGUUUUGCUGUCACUUAUAGAUGGAUCCGCGCCGCAUUAGCUAGUUGGUAAGGUAACGGCUUACCAAGGCAACGAUGCGUAGCCGACCUGAGAGUGGAUCGGCCCAACCGGAAAAGGGAACCCGGCCAACACCCCGCGGGAGGCCAGCGUGGGGAACUUUCCCCAAAGGGGAAAAGCCCGGCGGGGAAACCGCGGGGGGGGUAAUAAAGGUUUUGGAGUGGAAAACUUUUUUUAUAGGGAAGAACAAAUUUGUAAGUAACUUUGCCCUUUUUGACGGUACCAAACCAAAAAGCCCCGGCUAACUCCGU
Molecule: ribosomal RNA, 495 nt
Filed under: uncultured bacterium
Lineage: Bacteria
Description: partial 16S ribosomal RNA
Rfam family: Bacterial small subunit ribosomal RNA
Source: RNAcentral